This 1688-nucleotide long non-coding RNA is filed under the name Homo sapiens (human). RNAcentral's name for it is "non-protein coding MIR3976HG:8". The record is from RNAcentral. Lineage: Eukaryota; Metazoa; Chordata; Mammalia; Primates; Hominidae.
GAGUGUAAGCUGCUAUAUGAAGGGAUCCACAAGACGAAUAAUUAAGGGGGACCUCUGAUCAACAGCCAGCAAGGAACUGAAUCCCUCAGACCCACAACUCACAAGAAACUGAAGCUGAAGCAGAUUCUUCCUCAGUCAAGCUUCAGGUGCCCAGCUGUAUUGGUAGAGGAGACCAACCACACCCUCCACAGCACAGCACCUGGAGAGGAACUGCUGCCAUGACCAUAGAGGACACCCUCUGGAUACAAUGCCAGACUUGAUGUGGGACUGACCAACCUAUGGACCCCAGGCACCACCACCCAGACCUGCUCAGCACCUGAAACAUUCACAGCCGUGGAGAGAGAACUGUUCACUGCUACCAUCCACACUUCUGGGCCCCUUCAGCAGCAGGGUGACAAGGAAGAGGGAAAUCGACUUGGAAAAGAGGGGACCUCUGACCCAAGAGUUCGGUCAAUGCAUAUGUUGGCAGCCAGCUGCACAUCGCACCAAAUAUGAACUUCAAAUAGAAGAAAGCCUCAUUUGGAAGAAAGCUCAUGCACAGACUGUAAAUAUUUCAGAGCAGAUUGUGUCUCUGUAGAUUAACAAACAGUUUAUUUUUCCAGUAUGACAAUGUUGUGACAAGAUCAGAAGCCAGCUUUCUCACCAUUAAAUCAAAGUCUUAUCAAUAUAUGGAGACUUUUAUGGAAAGAAACCUGAAAUUACGCAGAAAUGCCUUCCGCAAGAAGUGGCUAGUAUGGUGGCUUCAAGAACAGUGACAUUUUUCAGUAUGUCCGUUGUUCUAAGACGUUAGUACAUCACAAUUACCUAGAAAACUUGUUAAAACACAGAAGUCUGGGCUCCCCCUCUUGGCCAACCCCCAUUCCCAGAGGGUUUCUGUUUCCAUGGGUCUGAAAUACCACCUAACGAUUGGCAUUUCUAACAAAUUUCUGCAUGAAGCUGCUGGUCUGAGGACCACACUUUGACAACCAGUGCACUACAUUAAGCUAUCUGGAGAAGCUGCAAAUGCAGAUGAAGAAGCUACAAAUUUUUCUAUGUCAACAAAAAUUGACUGAUGAGGGUGACCUUCGGAUCAUGUUUUUAAUGUUUAUGAAACUGGUCUCAUUAUCAGAAGUAAAUGGCUUCAAGAACUUCAGCCUGAGGAAGAAAACAUGAGUCCUAGGCAUAUCAGGCUACAACCAUGUUUGGAAUGAAUCUAGGUGCAAAUCUCAGUGGAGAAUUAACUGUACCAAUAUUUUAAUUAGGAUUACUAAUGUUUUGUUACUUCCUGAUUACAAGGUUCUAUAGGUUUUGAAUGAUCCACUGUAAUCCUGUUUCUUUUCCAUAAGUCGUGUAGUUUUUAGCAUGUAAUUAUGCAGACCAUAAGGUUUUUCAGGAAUACUAAUAUGGCAUUAGAUUAGAAAUGCUAUAUUAAAAAUUCUUAUUAAAUCUACUGAUAGUAACCAAAAAAUAGAAGAUUCAGAAGAACUAGCAAAUGUGGAGAGAACGGAUGAAAUGGAAGCAGUGUGAACCUAGUGAAUACUUGCCAAGCUGUAUCUCCCCUGAAUUUGUCAAAACAUCAUCUCCAGCAUCUGAGCUAGACCAACCCUCAGUGCUAACAUUGAUGUGAUUAAAGAGUCUGAACUGGGAGCAGAAUUCCUUCAGGUAUUUUGUUAAUAAAAUAAAGCUCUCCAUCUCUCCUUAAAUUAAAC